GCGAGUGUGGCAUAGUGGUUUGAGUGUUGGACUACAGUUCUGGAGACCAGGGUUCAAUUCCCCACUUGGC
Molecule: non-coding RNA, 70 nt
Organism: Phrynosoma platyrhinos (Desert horned lizard)
Lineage: Eukaryota; Metazoa; Chordata; Lepidosauria; Squamata; Phrynosomatidae
Source: the annotation of a GenBank genome assembly